CAAUAGCGUAUAUUAAAGUUGUUGCAGUUAAAAAGCUCGUAGUUGGAUUUGUGGCGUACGGUGUGUUCCGGGCACUUGUUGUCUGAGUAACCUGCUGUUGCCAUCCUUGGGUGGAACCUGUGUGGCAUUAGGUUGUCGUGCAGGGGAUGCCCAUCAUUUACUGUGAAAAAAUUAGAGUGUUCAAAGCAGGCUUAUGCCGUUGAAUAUAUUAGCAUGGAAUAAUAAGAUAGGACUUCGGAACUAUUUUGUUGGUUUGCGUUACGAAGUAAUGAUUAAUAGGGACAGUUGGGGGUAUUCGUAUUUCGUUGUCAGAGGUGAAAUUCUUGGAUUUCCGAAAGACGAACUACUGCGAAAGCAUUUACCAAGGAUGUUUUCAUUAA
This 380-nucleotide ribosomal RNA is filed under the name uncultured eukaryote. RNAcentral's name for it is "partial 18S ribosomal RNA". It matches the Rfam family "Eukaryotic small subunit ribosomal RNA", at positions 592 to 976 of the family's 1831-position model. The record is from RNAcentral.